Molecule: non-coding RNA, 54 nt
Organism: Salmo salar (Atlantic salmon)
Lineage: Eukaryota; Metazoa; Chordata; Actinopteri; Salmoniformes; Salmonidae
Source: Rfam
UGCACGCAUGAUUGUAAGCUGCUAUGGAUAAAAGUGUCUGCUAAAUGGCAUUUA